Gadus morhua (Atlantic cod) is the source of this 609-nucleotide long non-coding RNA. RefSeq lists it as uncharacterized. The transcript is spliced from 2 exons. Lineage: Eukaryota; Metazoa; Chordata; Actinopteri; Gadiformes; Gadidae. The record is from RefSeq and is a predicted model, not a curated record.
GGUAAAUAAACCGCACGCCAAGGUAAAUAAAGCGUACGCCGCAGUAGAUCCCGAAUAUCUUCGUGGAAAAUGGUAAAUUAUUGCCGUGUUUUUGGCUGUACCAAUCGGUCAGACCGCGAAAAACAUUUGGAGUAUUACAGACUGCCAAAAGUUAUAACUAAUCAAGGAGAACAAUGCCAAAAGUUGUCAGAGGAAAGGAGGCGCUUGUGGUUAGCGAAGCUGAACCAGGAUCUACGUGGCAAAAAUCUGGACAACGUCCGAAUUUGUUCGGCCCAUUUCUUGUCAGGUAAAAGGUCUGACCUUUAUCAAAAGGAUGACCCAGAUUGGGUGCCAUCUGUCGGAAUGACAGGUCAGCAAAGGUCUCCUGAAAAAGCUGGGACAUCAUCACGCUACAGCCGUCGUGGGAAUAGAACCCAGCAGAGACUGAGAGAAGCUGCUGCUGAUGCUGCUGGAGUUGCCUCAGAGACUGAUGAUUCUGAGACUGAUGACCCAGCUUUGUUCACCUGUCUGUUGUGCUCUGGUGAACCUUUGCCCAUCCAUUGUUGAUUUUGACUGAAGAAUAUUUUUAUAUGCACUUUGUCAAUAAAAAGACUAUAUAGCCUAAAAUUA